RNAcentral lists this long non-coding RNA (580 nucleotides) under Olea europaea (common olive). RNAcentral describes it as "long non-coding RNA (OEUR_LNC006017)". The record is from RNAcentral. Lineage: Eukaryota; Viridiplantae; Streptophyta; Magnoliopsida; Lamiales; Oleaceae.
UCUCCCUCAAUGACUUCUCCUUGUUUGAUGAAGUGAUUGUAUCAUCGUUGCUGUUGAUGGAAUGAAAGGUAACUUUUUUCCUGUCAGAGUCUGAUUCAUCUUUUGCUGUUUUGGUUCUAAUUUUUGUAAUCGUUGUGUCUGUUUCUCUGAUUUUUUCUGCACGAAUGUUGUGGGAACUCUUGGUCGAAGAAGAACCAGAUGAUGAUGAUGUUUUAUCGAGCUUUCUGGAGGUAAAGCAAGACGAACCCCAUUCUUGCACCUUGAUGGCAAAACUGGAUUUGGAACCAGUACUGAUGAAACUUGUUGCAUUACUCUCUCUUCCAGGACUCGACCCUGAGUAUUUUUCUCUGUUGAUUACCAGGGAAAAGUCUGUUAGUCCCUUGUAAUAAGGACUGCUGGUCGAAUAUCUUGCCUCUAGUCUUUUAUUGAACUCUUCGAGCUUCUGUGCAGUUAGGUCUGAGUUCUUCUUUCUUCCAAUGUAGUCACCGAGUUUCUUUUGGAAGGCAGUGAUUGGUGAGCCGGCUGAGCGAGAAGAGCGCAUGGACUUGGUCGAAGGUAUGUAGGGGUUGGAGGGAGAGGG